GAAACAAUGGGACUGCCUUAGUGACUGUCGUUACCACUGCAUGCUUGCCAGAGAGAAAGAACGGAAGAAAGCUGGUCUUAAGCCUGUCAAGUAUCAUGGAAAAUGGCCUUUUCAGCGUGCCAACGGAAUCCAGGAACCUGUUUCUGUAGCUCUUUCCGCUCUUAACCUUGCCAUGCAAUUCCAUGGAUGGGUAUCCUUUUUCAUUUUUGUGAAUUACAAGCUGCCAUUUAGGCCAAACAGAAAGCCAUUUUAUGAAUACACUGGCUUGUGGCA
RNAcentral lists this unclassified non-coding RNA (273 nucleotides) under Hevea brasiliensis (rubber tree). The record is from RNAcentral. Lineage: Eukaryota; Viridiplantae; Streptophyta; Magnoliopsida; Malpighiales; Euphorbiaceae.